RNAcentral lists this unclassified non-coding RNA (394 nucleotides) under fungal sp. Its description in RNAcentral is "partial internal transcribed spacer region". The stretch from base 1 to 46 matches the Rfam family "Eukaryotic small subunit ribosomal RNA", at positions 1786 to 1831 of the family's 1831-position model. Lineage: Eukaryota; Fungi. The record is from RNAcentral.
AAGUCGUAACAAGGUUUCCGUAGGUGAACCUGCGGAAGGAUCAUUAACACGUGUCCCACGUAUACACCCCUGUGAACUGUGCGCGGACUUACAUAUGAGUGGUAGAAACCGAGUUGUAACCUUCGUGGUUGCAUUGAAAGUUGCAUAGCUGGAGCUUGUGAGUCUGCGCGACUUACACGAAAAAGAUCUCACCAACUUUCGCAGUUGGAGAUUCUUCGGCUGUGCGAUUGGUAAUACUAGCUUGCUGCGAGCAGGCAGCUCUGUGUAGCGUUCGUUUUAACCAACCUUUAACUGAAUAGACUAAUGUGGAGGCUAGUACGUGUGAGCAAUCGCACUGGACUGUGUCUCGGCUUACGAAAUGUAACAACUCUUAACAACGGAUAUCUUGGUUCUC